This 486-nucleotide ribosomal RNA is filed under the name uncultured bacterium. Its description in RNAcentral is "partial 16S ribosomal RNA". It matches the Rfam family "Bacterial small subunit ribosomal RNA", at positions 28 to 507 of the family's 1533-position model. The record is from RNAcentral.
AUUGAACGCUGGCGGCAUGCCUUAUACAUGCAAGUCGAACGGCAGCACGGGUGCUUGUCUCUGGUGGCGAGUGGCGCACGGGUGCGUAAUACAUAGGCACCUGUCCUGCAGCGGGGGAUAGCCCGGCCAAAGCCGGAUUUAUCCCGCCUACGCACUACGGGUGAAAGCGGGGGUACUUCUGGCCUCGCGGUAUUGGGUUGUCCGCUGGCUGAUUAGCUACUUGGUGGGGGAAAGGCCGACCACCGCGACGGUCAUGAGCUGGUCUGCGAGGAGGACGAGCCACACUGGGACUGAGACACGGCCCAGGCUCCUACGGGAGCCAGAAGUGGGGGAUGGUGGACAAUGAGCGUAAGCCUGAGCCAGCAAUGCCGCGGGUGUGAGGAAGGCCUUCGGGUUGUAAAGCACUUUUUGCCGGAAAGAAAGCCUUGGCCCUAAGACGGUCGGGGGAUGACGGUACCAGAAGAAUAAGCACCGGCUAACUACGUG